This 424-nucleotide ribosomal RNA is filed under the name uncultured Herminiimonas sp. Its description in RNAcentral is "bacterial SSU rRNA". It matches the Rfam family "Bacterial small subunit ribosomal RNA", at positions 338 to 780 of the family's 1533-position model. Lineage: Bacteria; Pseudomonadati; Pseudomonadota; Betaproteobacteria; Burkholderiales; Oxalobacteraceae. The record is from RNAcentral.
CCUACGGGGGGCAGCAGUGGGGAAUAUUGCACAAUGGGCGAAAGCCUGAUGCAGCAACGCCGCGUGAGCGAUGAAGGCCUUCGGGUCGUAAAGCUCUGUCCUCAAGGAAGAUAAUGACGGUACUUGAGGAGGAAGCCCCGGCUAACUACGUGCCAGCAGCCGCGGUAAUACGUAGGGUGCGAGCGUUAUCCGGAUUUAUUGGGCGUAAAGCGCGUCUAGGCGGUUUAGUAAGUCUGAUGUGAAAAUGCGGGGCUCAACCCCGUAUUGCGUUGGAAACUGCUAAACUAGAGUACUGGAGAGGUAGGCGGAACUACAAGUGUAGAGGUGAAAUUCGUAGAUAUUUGUAGGAAUGCCGAUGGGGAAGCCAGCCUACUGGACAGAUACUGACGCUAAAGCGCGAAAGCGUGGGUAGCAAACAGGAUUA